UUUUCGGAUAGUGUAUCGUUUUUAUGACAUUUCUACUUCCAUCCCCCUUUUUCUUGACCAAAUGAAAUGGCUAUUAGGUUGUCAAGGUCAGCAGGGAAGUGUGGGAAGCCUGGUCCUCGCCGCCACCUUGCAGACGCCGUAUUGAUUCCGCUCCCUCGAGAUGUCUUCAGAUUCCGAGGAGGAGAAUGGUGUGCGGCGGGAUGCAGAGGACAGUGACGGGGGCCGCUACAGCCGACACUCCCGCUCUCGGUCUCGCUCCCGUUCCCGCUCCUCCGGCAGAACGCCACCGAGGGAGGAUGACCUCGACGACAACCACCAGGAGCAGGAUCGGAAGGAAAAUGGGAUGAGGGGCGGUGGCAGCGACGACUAUGACUCCAAGAAGUACGACGACAGAGACAGACAGAGGGACCGCAGCUUCUCCAUGUCCCCGCCAGCCAAGGACAACAAGGACUGGUCUUCAGGAGGGGGUGGCGGCGCAGCAGAUGACCACAAGAGGGUAUCGCGCAGUCGCAGCAAGAGCAAGCCGAGAGAGGUGGAUACAGCCAAGGAACAUAAGUCGAGUAGCAGCGGCUCAUCCUCGAAGAAGAAGUCACGCUCGAGGAGGUCACGCUCGCGGUCCAGAAGCAAGAGGAGGUCAAGGAGUCGGAGGCGCUCGAGGUCACGCUCCCGAUCCUACAACUCCAGGUCUCGCAGAAGAUCGCGUUCCAGGUCAAGGAGAAGAUCGAGGUCGAGGUCACGCAGACGGACACGCUCAAGGUCAAGGUCGAGAAGCGGCACGCCAGUGGACGGGGCGCGACUCCACGUGGCGGAACUAGAUGUUGAUACCCGCAAACGAGACCUGGAACGGGUGUUUGAAAAGUACGGCCGGCUGCGGGAGAUCUGGAUGGCGCGUAACCCUCCGUGUUUUGCCUUCGUGGUGUAUGCCCACCAGAAGGACGCUGACCGUGCCCUCAAGGAGACUGACGGCAUCAUGAUAGGCCACUGCCGCAUAAAAGUGACACAGGCCAGACCCCGGGUGCGUGGUGGCCGCAUGAGGGGCGGCUAUGACCCCAACCUGCGCUGCUACCAGUGUGGGGAGCUGGGACACUUCUCACGCAACUGUACUGACACCAAGUUUGGCUACAAGCGCCCUCCCACACCGCCAGGGGUGUGUUAUGGUUUGGUAAUGUGGUCAUUGGUUGGGUAAUUGGGAGAGGAGAAGCCGCUCCAGUGUAGUGCCGGGAUGAUGAUGAUGGUGAUGAUGGUGUCGGUGUCUCGGCGGGGUCUGUGAUGGGAGUCACGUGCCCCCCCCGCUCACUCACACACUCACUCCGCAUGAUGUAAGUCUACCCCACCACGCCAUCUCUCUCUUAUAGGUGAGGACUAGCGCAGCAGCCUAUCCCAUAAAAAAGAAAUUAUAAACAGCUUUAGCCUUUUAGUCAUCUUGCAUCAGAAUUCUACUACCUCUCACUCUCACUCACUCAUCCCAGACCCCAAGUAGAUCCACCACACACACACACGCACUCAAAGACAUGUAAGCUUUCCCUCCCACUACCAUUUCUUCCACUACCAUCAGCCAGCCCCCUCAGCCCACUUCUCCUGUCCUUAUUACAAGCUUAAGUGCUCUUUGUAUAAUUUUGUUGAUAAAUUUGCAGCUCUCACACACAGACACAGAGCAUUUUCUUUUCAAAGCCUGUCACGAGACCUUGCAUUUUGUUUUCUGUUCAGUACAUUUUGAUCUUUUGGUUCAGUUUGUAAAGUGUUCUAUAUUUUUUUUUUGCAUUUUGAUGAGAAUUUUGCAUAGCUAAGGGCAGUCAUGCUUUCUCACUGAUAACCCUGUCUGCUUUAUUUUACACACACACACACACACACACACACACACACACACACACACACACAUAUACAUAUACACACUCACAUUUAGUAUACACAUAAGUUCUAGACAUUCUGAAUUUCCUGUAAGCAGUUUAAAACUUACUCUAAGAUUAUAUGAAUAGACCAGUAUUGAUAUUUUUGAAUUAUGUAAAUUUUCAAGUUUUAGUUUCCAAAUAAAUUACAAAGUUUAGUCUUCAGCAGUUGAUGUAAAUUAUAGCUUAUCCAAUAUUGAUGGAUAAUUUUAUUGUUUAAUUUUGACAUAUGUUCUCCUUACUUGUAUGCCUAUGUUUAAUGUCUUUUUUUAUAUAUAUAUAUCUGUAUAUUGGCUGCGGUAUGUUGAGUGUAUUGGUGGUGGCAUUGUGACACUGGCUGACCUCACAGCCCCUUGGUGGUGGGCCCUCUGGCAGUGUGACCUCUACAACACCUUGCUCCUCACACCCAUCAUUGCUCCAUCCACACCCUCCUUCCCUUCCUCCCUCAGAGUCUGGAUCACAAACCUUUUUUCCUCAGUUUCACUCAUGCCAAGAUUCUCCUUUUUUUCCAGUGUUAUUGUCAGAUUUACACUAGGAUUAUUUUUUUGAAGCUUCUGUCAUUGCAUCAGGGUUGAUUGCCAAAUACUACUGUAGGAUUUUCAAAACUAAGUCGGCCGGGGUAGAGAAUUCCCUUCAUAUCUCGGUGAUAAUGUUCCCCCUAGAGUCCUACUGUCCCCUUGCAUUUAAUGUCCUGUAGCUUGAUUUAGCCAUCAAUUAUAUUUUGGCUGACCAAAUUAGGGAUUUUUUCUGAAAUUUCAAAGGCCUGCACCUUGCCUGUUCUUAUUAUCCUUUGGGGAGUUUCUGUCUGUAUGUUGGUAGACUGGUAGAGGGCACUGGAAUGCUGGGUUAAUCAGUUUCCAGUUUUGUAUCCUGAUGAUGAGCUCACCUUCUUGACUCCAAACUCAGCUCUCACUAAUCUCUGGUUCUGUCUUGUGUAAUGGAGGGUGAAGGCACUGAUUGAUAGCUGAACAAGUUACCAGGGCUCCUCUUGAUUCAUGACCCUCAAAUCAGCCCCCCCAAUCACAUAAUUUACCAAAAGCAACCCCCGUUUAUAGAAGAUAAAGCAUUUUUUUACUUUUUUUUUUUCUUUUGUACCAUUGAAUAAUAUACUCAUUCACCAAUUAAUUUCAGAAAUGUGAUAUGGCGGGGUCCACAGCUUUAGGGUGUUGUAAUUUGAGUGGUGUGGUGUUAGUGUGUUACUCUUGUCCGGUGAAGAAGGCAGCAGUGGUGUGGUAUCCAACAUGGGAGAUGGUGCUAUACGGACCACGAUAAGGGGUGAAGUCACCUCCUGCUUUGGCAAACAAAAGUUGCUGUCCAAAUACCCCCUUGAUUUUCAGAGUGAGGGACAGUGUUGCCACCCGGUGUGUGAGGUGGAGGGUGUAGUUAUGGUCCCACCGCAGGGGACGCCCACGCUCGCGGUCCAGGUCGCGCUCCCGUUACCGCAGCCGCUCAAGGUCUCGCUCAUGAGGUCCUUGAGCCGAGGGACCAACCAGCCUGCCAAAGGGGCGUGUGGGUACCCUGGACUGUCAACGUCGGCCCUUGGAACACUAGUGUCUGUCGGUGGUUCGCUGAAGGUGAAUUCUGGACUAUCAAUAAAUUAUUCAGUGGUAGAAAACCUGAGUUCUGUUUUGUCUGCCUCCAUUCAGUGUUAGUUGGCAAGUUCUAGCACAAACCAAUGAAAGAUUUUAGAACAUUGCCCUCACUCCAUCAGCCUCAGGACUGGUUGGUUUAAAGUUAAUUUGCCUUUUUCUGUUUAAGUACAUUCUGGGAGUACCCAACCACACUUCUUUAUUUAACAUUAUUGGUCAUGCCUGCUUUGAUUUCUGUUUGUAGGAUAAGUAAAAGACUUUUCAUGGUCAAUCACUAUAAGGAAUUGAUUGUACUUGAUGUGUAAGCAUUGAAAAUAAUAAAGAAUAAAAAGGAAGCAA
Eriocheir sinensis (Chinese mitten crab) is the source of this 3814-nucleotide RNA transcript. It is a transcript of the gene named probable splicing factor, arginine/serine-rich 6, with no coding region annotated. Lineage: Eukaryota; Metazoa; Arthropoda; Malacostraca; Decapoda; Varunidae. The record is from RefSeq and is a predicted model, not a curated record. The transcript is spliced from 7 exons.